CGCGGCCUAUCAGCUUGUUGGUGGGGUAACGGCCCACCAAGGCGUCGACGGGUAGCUGGUCUGAGAGGACGAUCAGCCACACUGGGACUGAGACACGGCCCAGACUCCUACGGGAGGCAGCAGUGGGGAAUCUUGCGCAAUGGGCGAAAGCCUGACGCAGCAACGCCGCGUGGGGGACGAAGGCUCUCGGGUUGUAAACCCCUUUCAGGAGGGACGAAAAUGACGGUACCUCCAGAAGAAGCCCCGGCCAACUACGUGCCAGCAGCCGCGGUAACACGUAGGGGGCAAGCGUUGUCCGGAUUUAUUGGGCGUAAAGAGCUCGUAGGCGGCUCGGUAAGUCGGGUGUGAAAUUUCGAGGCUCAACCUCGAAACGCCACUCGAUACUGCUGUGGCUAGAGUCCGGUAGGGGAGCGUGGAAUUCCUGGUGUAGCGGUGAAAUGCGCAGAUAUCAGGAGGAACACCAGCGGCGAAGGCGGCGCUCUGGGCCGGUACUGACGCUGAGGAGCGAAAGCGUGGGGAUCAAACAGGAUUAGAUACCCUGGUAGUCCACGCCGUAAACGUUGGGCACUAGGUGUGGGGCUCUAUCAACGGGUUCCGUGCCGUAGCUAACGCAUUAAGUGCCCCGCCUGGGGAGUACGG
RNAcentral lists this ribosomal RNA (639 nucleotides) under uncultured Actinomycetes bacterium. RNAcentral describes it as "bacterial SSU rRNA". It matches the Rfam family "Bacterial small subunit ribosomal RNA", at positions 232 to 885 of the family's 1533-position model. Lineage: Bacteria; Bacillati; Actinomycetota; Actinomycetes. The record is from RNAcentral.